Non-coding RNA from Camelina sativa (false flax), 1287 nucleotides. NCBI's taxonomy places the organism in Eukaryota, Viridiplantae, Streptophyta, Magnoliopsida, Brassicales, Brassicaceae. The record is from RefSeq and is a predicted model, not a curated record.
CCCCCUCUUCUUCACUAUAGAAGGUGGUCAAUGGAAUUAUUCUCCUCAUAGGGAGGUGCAUGUAUCUCAGGGGUAGUUCUUCUCUUGGGUUUUGCAAUCAGAGGGCGUCUUCUUUUCUCUUUUGGGGCUGCAAAGGGUGAACCAACUCGCAGUGAAGGGUGUACUGGCAGAUCCUAGCUUAGCUCUUCCAGAAAACUAAGCUUUACGUUUGUGGUCGCUUCAAUUAUGUGCUAUGCAGUUUCUACCAUUAGGGCUCGGGAUUCACCCUAAAUAACCCUCUGUUUCCUUGCAAUUUGUUCAGUAGGGUCAGCACAGCUCACAUAGUGGAUGGUGACAUCACACAACUCCCACAUAACCUCUUCUUUGGAAGGGAUCAUAGGAGGAGGGGGUGGAGGCGUGACUUCUGCAGUCACUUGUCUUUCCAAUAGAGGGCGACGUGGUCGAGAGGUUUCUGAGAACUCUACUAGUAAGAUAUUUGCACUGCCUCUGGCGCUUGGUUUUUCUAUCCACUGCAUAUUUAGAGGAUAAUAACCAGGAAAACGUUUUGGGAUGAGUGACCAAAGGCGUUGGAGAGUCAGGUGGUAGGGAAUUCUUCUAUCCAUGGUGUAGAGACAUAUUGAAAGUAUCCAAAACUAGGGUUCUUCACACAGAGUUGGGAGUGUUCUUGCCUAAAGAGCUGAGUUUUCUUGCCCAAGGGAUGAGAGUUAAAUACUUACGAUAAGAUGCAAUAAAUGCGAGUCAAGAAAAACAGUUCUUAACCUAGAGGUGAGUGGGUUCAAGUAUUUAAAGGCGCAGUCUUAAAUAAGAGAGAAGCUCAACGUUUCCAUAAUAGCAGCUUGUAAUGACUGUAUGAUUAUGGUUACAAGGGUGCUUUGUCGUCCGGGUCGAGGAGUUAGAAGGUGAGAGGGGUUGUUUUUUACUCGGUCAGUUCAACUGGGAAGUGGCGUGAGGGGCGUCUCCUACGCCGGACUCACUAGGGAGGAUGCCGACCGCCUCAAGGCAUCGUAUAAAGCCAAAAAUAGAAUAAACUUUGCUAGAAAAGGAAAUAAAAGUGGGUAAAAUCUGCUAUCUUGAACUUAUUUUUCUUCUUUCAGCUAGCUCGGGAACUGUGCCUAAGAGCUUUUUUUUUAGAGACGAAUAAUAGUGUUGAUUGAGAAUUCUCUAACUAAUUCUCAAAACAAUCGAAUGAUAAGACAAAACCAAUGUUCCGUGUCUCACCAUCUGUAUAUAUAUGGCCACUAACUUGGUGAUGAUAUGAAACUAGGAAGCAUGCUGGCUCCCAAAUGC